AUUAUUUCGUUAUUGAACUCCAAAGUGCGCAGUGCGCUCGAGUGGUAGUUGUGUUGUGUGGCUCCUGUUGAUUCCGAAGUGUAGUGCAUGGUUGAUAUAUUUGGUGGAUUAAAGUGUUCUGAGUUAUCCUCGAGGAUUUUCCACGAUCGGCGUGUCUAUGGCAAGUAGAAUAGCAGGCUUAUCACAUGUUUAAUUCAAUCUGCUGUGAGAUUCUUCUAUUCUACUUUCGACAACACCCGUUAACAUCACACCCGACCCGACUGCCAGUGUAAUUUCAAGCCCCAAUCCCCGAUUCUCAAAGCUGACGCCACGUCUGUGCUCGUUGGACCCCACUCAACCCGGCCCAUUUUCACCCAUCCGAUGCUGUUGCAAUAUUAUGACUCCUGCUGUUUGUUCCGACAGACGGCUGAGCCGGGAUGGCGGGAAAAGCGGCAAAAGAAAUGUUUAUUGUGAGGCAUUUUCUAUGGCGAUUGCAAUGCCUGCUCUCUGCCCUUUUACCCUGCUAGCGCCAGCCAUUCGCAUUAAAUGAGGAAACCAAUUAUUCGCGCUUAUAAAGAUUUACCGCCAUAGAGCCCCACAUACAGCCCAGCCCAGCCCAGUUAGACAGUUGGAGAUAUAGAUGCGAGUGCUUCAACUCCAGCCCCCUACCAGUGGCCUCCGUUUUGUUUCGCUUUUAAUGGGAGCCCUCCGCUUGGCCGCAGGCUCGCUGAUUAAAGUCAGGGAUUGCAUUGCAGGGUGUCCUGUUUAGUGGAAUACGGCAAUCCUGGCAAGUGUAUGGAACUGGUAUCCUCCAAUAUGGAAUACACACGAACGCAGUAAUUACUUAAAAGUAUACAGAGGGAAAUGACAGGCUUAGUAACGAUUUCUUGGGUUGCCCUCUCUAGUGCCACCUCCUCCACAUCUAGCAGGCCAUCCACAUCCACUUAUCCCUAAUGCGGCCACAAUUUCCUGUUGGCCGAAAAACAUUUUCGCAAGAAUUUGCUCAUUUCAAAUGGGAAAUGCUUGGCGAGGCCAAUUUGAGUGUGCACAGGCGCCAGGCGAGACAAAGGCCUACUCAAGCCGCCCGUCUGGGCAUCCUUAUUGCGGGUCCUGCCGCUGGCAUAACUUGUCAUUUGUCUUGGACACUGUAGAGCGAAAUCUCGCUGAAAUUACCUUUCAUUUUGUCUUCAAAAACCACUUGAAGGGGGCAUUCACGAAGGCGGAAGCAGGCGUCAGAAGUCGCUCCCCUGGUGUCCUGUCCCGUCCCGUCGUGUCCUGUCGUUAGGGGAAGUCUGGCCAGCCGCAGCAAUUACAGACGUUAAUGUCCCACAGCCCUGCCCUGUGCUGCUCGUUCGUGCCCUUUGGAUCUCCGAUUUCGGCUUAAAGUCUUUCAGAUCCGGCUUCCGGUUCGCCUUGGCAUGGCUCCUUUCGGCCUUUGCUUUUAUGCGACCCUUUGUCCGAUGCACUUCCUGAAACCGAAAGCGUAUUGGGGCCCAGGAUGAGAGAAGCUGAGCUGAAUCAGAAGCGCUAAAUUAAAACGUAAAUACCACUUAGCCGGGAUAUAAAGCAAGUGGCCGCUCUGGCUCCUACCUGUAAUCAGUGGGUAAUUAAGCGGAGGAGCGGAAAGUGAGCAGGACACCUAAGAAUUGCUUAAUUUGUGCAGCCUGAUUUAAUGACUGUUCUUGCACAGCGCUUGCUUCCAGAGCCGAAGUGCUACCGUAAAAGUAACCACCACCCAACGGAACUCGUGCUAAGAGACCAAACUUAAUUUCAUGGGACGCUUAUCACGCGGCAAACUAUAAAUAUGCUUCUAAACAUUCGUUUUGACAGCUUCAUCUGCAAUGUGCAGCCAUCCUACCACACCGUGAAAGUACAGUCCCGCCUCCGGUUCGACGUCGCACCAGAGUCAAAGUUUUUUUGCCCUUCUUGUGCCCGUUUUUGGAAGUUGGGGUGAGUGGAGGACGAUAUUGCAACGGCUGCAGAGUGUGCAAAAAAUUCUAAACUGCAAUAAAUUCAUCAAAUGUGCAAUGAAACAUGCUGUAAUGUCACGCCCACGGCCCAAUUCAUCCGUGCCACCCGCUCCGGAUCUGAGGGGACUUCCCCAGCCGCUAACUCCAUUAAACUCGCUCCCUUUUGGUCCGGAAUUGGGUGAUAUUUUGUAGGCAAAUGUGCAAUAAAUUGUAAAUGUUUGCCGUCCGUGUGGGAGAGCAACGUUCCGUGGUUCAUGGUGAUGUGGCAGCUGUGGAACGGCCCCCGUUGAAAAUAUGCGAUGCCCCCAACGAGUGGGGCCCACCGAAAAACUUGUCCGCUGCACGCCUGUCAACUUUUAUAAGUGUUUUUGCAGAUUGUUUUUCGUCCCGAAGACUUUUUCUGUUCUGUUCUGUUCUGUUCUGGAACAGUUUUCGGUUACAGCAGGGGCAGCGUGAAAAAAUGCAGAGCAGCGAUAACGGUGGCUUGUAGCGAACGCAAUUUAGUGGGCGGAAUGGACGAGACGGGACCAGAUAAUGAAACAUGGAUGGGAAAAGUUUCGAAGAAGUGAGAUCAUGAACUAAGUCAGGCCAGGACGAUGCAAUCAUAAAUUCCUGGGCAAGGGGCAAGGAGUGAUUCGUGAAUGACUCAAUCAAUUGGGCGCCACUUAAGUGAAGAAUAUUAUUCUCUUCAUGAUUUUUUUACUAGAUAAUUAUUUUAUUUCUUACUUUGUGUAUUUUCGUACUACAAUAUGCAGCUGCAUACGUGGCUUUUGGGUACAACGGGGAGGCACACAAAUGGUGCUCUAAAUAAAAAAUGAAAUAAAAUUUCGUUAUUUUAACUGCUACAACCUUAUGUUUAUUACAGUGUUCUCCGCAUUUUGAUUACUUAACCAAAUUCAGCCUCGUUUAUUUAACACCGUUUGGAAGUUCCAAAACGGGUAAAAACAAACAAGCCAGCUCAUUCAAUUAUGCAAUUAUUAUUUGGCUUUUAUUUAAUGCAAUUAAAAAAUUAAGCGGACUGCAGGGCCGGUCCGAGCUGGAAAUUAUGCUGCCUGUGCAGGAUCCUGACACCAUCUCUCCCCACCUUGGCUAGCCCUUAACAAUCGAGUGUGGGUGGUGCAACAAUACCAUCAGCCGAAAGCUGCAAACUUCUGAGGUCGAUGUGCAGCAGGGGGCAGGAGGCACCAAAAUGUUGCCUAACGCAGCAGAAAGGCCCAAACACACAGCCCUCAAAUCGUAUGCGUAAUUUGGCUAUUAAAUCGAAUUUUUAUUGAAGCUCGUGGAACGGUGCACAGAGGGACGACCUGGGGUUCGGGGUCACCACAUUCGAAAGCCCGCCCUGGGGCUCCAAGCCCGGUUUUUCGCACGUGCGGAGGAAACGAGUUUUUGGGGGACUACUUUUGCAAACGCAACGGAAACGGAAAAUGUUCUAUUGGUUACCCCUCGAGCGCCCACCACUUUGAACUGCAUCCCGAAAUCCGCAAUUCCGAAACAGCUGCCUGCUAAUGGCAGUACUCUGCUCGUACACUGCGAAAAAUGUCAUCAGUGCUGGAAAGUUACCGUCUCGAAAUUCCAUUUACACAGAUCUGGGACAUGUAUCUGUUUUUAAUU
Drosophila melanogaster (fruit fly) is the source of this 3560-nucleotide non-coding RNA. NCBI's taxonomy places the organism in Eukaryota, Metazoa, Arthropoda, Insecta, Diptera, Drosophilidae. The record is from Ensembl.